This 783-nucleotide ribosomal RNA is filed under the name Triticum aestivum (bread wheat). RNAcentral's name for it is "partial small subunit ribosomal RNA". The record is from RNAcentral. Lineage: Eukaryota; Viridiplantae; Streptophyta; Magnoliopsida; Poales; Poaceae.
AUGUGGAAAACAAAAAAUUCCAGCUGCAGGCAAGCUAUCAAGAAUUUUCUGGAUGGUCAUGUCGAGGCAUUCAGUGAACGAUACCUUGGUCUUCCAACUGCAGUGGGUAAGAUCACUAGUGGCACUUUUGAUCACAUAAGGGAAACAUCAAGGAGUAAGAUGCAGGAGUGGUUAGAGAGACUCCUUGCUUGUGCUGGAAGUGAAAAUUUGUUGAAGUCCAUCAUCCAGGCAAUCCCAACAUUCAACAUGAGUGUUUUUCUCUUGACCAAGAAGGACCUCCACCUUUUCAACUUGGCACUCCUGGGUAAACAAGGAUGGCGCCUCAUCACUAAUCCCAAUACCCUGUGUGCUAGAGUACUCAAGGGCAAGUACUUUCCAGACACAGAUUUUAUGCAUGCUGCAACUCCAAGAUCCUCCUCGGCCACCUGGAGGGCUAUUGUAGCUGCGUGGGAAGCAUUGACCAACACUUUGGCUCACCUAUUCCGCCCUCCUGCCAUGAAUGUUUCCCUGGUGAGCGAGCUAAUUGAUAUGGACAACUGGACAUGGAGAAUGGAGCAAAUUCAUGAUAUCUUCAUCCUCCCAGAUGCAGAAGCGAUUCUGGACAUUCCCUUGCGUACUGGUGGAGGUGAUGAUUUCCUAGCAUGUUCACAUGAAGUUUCAGGCAAUGACACCAUCAAAUCAGCGUACCGAGCUCUAAUGACUCGUAACGAGCGUCAAGCUCAAGAGGAAGGACAUGUUACCAGUUCCUCAAUUGAUAAUCAGCGGAUGUGGAAUGCUCUCUAG